This 255-nucleotide ribosomal RNA is filed under the name uncultured bacterium. RNAcentral describes it as "partial 16S ribosomal RNA". It matches the Rfam family "Bacterial small subunit ribosomal RNA", at positions 524 to 776 of the family's 1533-position model. The record is from RNAcentral.
UACAGAGGGUGCAAGCGUUGUUCGGAAUCAUUGGGCGUAAAGGGCGCGUAGGCGGCCACCGCAAGUCGGUUGUGAAAUCUCUGGGCUUAACCCAGAAAGGUCAAUCGAUACUGCGGGGCUAGAGUGCAGAAGGGGCAACUGGAAUUCUCGGUGUAGCGGUGAAAUGCGUAGAUAUCGAGAGGAACACCUGCGGCGAAGGCGGGUUGCUGGGCUGACACUGACGCUGACAGCGCGAAAGCUAGGGGAGCGAACGGG